GAUGAACGCUGGCGGCGUGCCUAAUACAUGCAAGUCGAGCGAACAGAUAAUGAGCUUGCUCCUUUGACGUUAGCGGCGGACGGGUGAGUAACACGUGGGUAACCUACCUAUAAGACUGGGAUAACUUCGGGAAACCGGAGCUAAUACCGGAUAACAUUUGGAACCGCAUGGUUCUAAAGUGAAAGAUGGUUUUGCUAUCACUUAUAGAUGGACCCGCGCCGUAUUAGCUAGUUGGUAAGGUAACGGCUUACCAAGGAAACGAUACGUAGCUGACCUGAGAGGGUGAUCAGCCACACUGGAACUGAGACACGGUCCAGACUCCUACGGGAGGCAGCAGUGGGGAAUCUUCCGCAAUGGGCGCAAGCCUGACGCAGCAAGGCCGCGUGAGUGAAGAAGGGUUUCGGCUCGUAAAACUCUGUUAUUAGGAAAGAAAAACCGUGUAUGAAAACCCGCACGUCCUGACGGUACCUAAUCAGUAAGCCCCGGCUAACUACGUG
This 497-nucleotide ribosomal RNA is filed under the name uncultured bacterium. RNAcentral describes it as "partial 16S ribosomal RNA". It matches the Rfam family "Bacterial small subunit ribosomal RNA", at positions 28 to 507 of the family's 1533-position model. The record is from RNAcentral.